Molecule: ribosomal RNA, 420 nt
Filed under: bacterium
Lineage: Bacteria
Description: partial 16S ribosomal RNA
Rfam family: Bacterial small subunit ribosomal RNA
Source: RNAcentral
UGGGGGAUAUUGCACAAUGGGCGAAAGCCUGAUGCAGCGACGCCGCGUGGGGGAUGAAGGCUUUCGGGUUGUAAACCUCUUUCGCUAUCGAACAAGGCCCGCUUAGGGUGGGUUGAGGGUAGGUGGAGAAGAAGCGCCGGCUAACUACGUGCCAGCAGCCGCGGUAAUACGUAGGGCGCGAGCGUUGUCCGGAAUUAUUGGGCGUAAAGGGCUUGUAGGCGGCUUGUUGCGCCUGCUGUGAAAACGCGGGGCUUAACUUCGCGCGUGCAGUGGGUACGGGCAGGCUUGAGUGUGGUAGGGGUGACUGGAAUUCCAGGUGUAGCGGUGGAAUGCGCAGAUAUCUGGAGGAACACCGACGGCGAAGGCAGGUCACUGGGCCAUUACUGACGCUGAGGAGCGAAAGCAUGGGAAGCGAACAGG